GGCUCUUUGGCAAUGUGGGCAGCGCGUAUGACUCUUACCCAGAAGUCUGGGGUUCAAUCCCCCGCCAAGGCCCU
Molecule: non-coding RNA, 74 nt
Organism: Gymnothorax javanicus (giant moray)
Lineage: Eukaryota; Metazoa; Chordata; Actinopteri; Anguilliformes; Muraenidae
Source: the annotation of a GenBank genome assembly